CUGGCCGCGUUGCCGUAGCUACUGGAGACGCGCUCCGUGGGGCGGACAGGCGCACUUCCGGACCGGGGCGCGGCAGCCGGAAGUGCGUGGCCGCCGGGGCCAUGGCGGCGCUCAGCGUCGUCUGCCUGCUGCUGGCAGCGGCAUCCUGGCGGCCGGUCUCGGCUUCAGGAGAAGAAUUCUGGCCUGGCCAGUCGGCGGCGGACAUCCUGUCGGGGGCGGCAUCCCGCAGACGGUACCUCCUGUAUGAUGUCAACCCCCCAGAAGGCUUCAAUCUCCGCAGGGAUGUCUAUAUCCGGGUGGCAUCCUUGCUGAAGACGCUGUUGAAGACUGAAGAGUGGGUGCUAGUCCUGCCCCCGUGGGGCCGCCUCUACCACUGGCAAAGCCCUGACAUCCACCAGGUCCGGAUUCCCUGGUCCGAGUUUUUUGACCUCCCGAGUCUCAAUAAAAACAUCCCCGUUAUAGAGUAUGAGCAGUUCAUUGCAGAGUCCGGCGGGCCCUUUAUCGACCAGGUGUACGUCCUACAAGGUUACGCCGAGGGCUGGAAGGAGGGCACCUGGGAGGAGAAGGUGGACGCACGGCCCUGUAUUGACCCUCUGCUGUACUCGCAGGACAAGCAUGAGUAUUACAGAGGCUGGUUUUGGGGCUACGAAGAAACACGGGGUCUGAAUGUCUCCUGCCUGUCCGUCCAGGGGUCGGCUUCCAUCGUCGCGCCUGUCCUCUUAAAAAACACAUCUGCUCGGUCUGUGAUGCUGGACCGAGCUGAGAAUCUGCUUCAUGACCACUAUGGAGGCCGGGAGUACUGGGAUACCCGGCGCAGCAUGGUGUUUGCAAAGCACUUGCGGGCUGUGGGAGACGAGUUUAGGAGCCAGCACCUCAACUCGACGGAUGCCGCUGAUAAGAUGGCCCCGGAGGAAGACUGGACGAAGAUGAAGGUAGCCGCGCUGCUCUUGCCCGAGAAGGAGCUAGGGACGGGGCUCCUCCCUUAAGCUAGCAUGUCUGACCUGUCAAACUGGGCUCAGCACUAGGCGGCCCCUACCUCGGAGUCCACCUGAGAAGGAAGGACUUCAUCUGGGGCCACAGGGAGGAUGUGCCCAGCCUGGAGGGCGCCGUGAAGAAGAUCCGCAGCCUCAUGAAGACUCAUCAGCUGGACAAGGUGUUCGUGGCCACAGACGCCAUCAGGAAGGAGCAGGAAGAAUUGAGGAAGCUGCUGCCGGAAAUGGUGAGGUUUGAGCCCACGUGGGAGGAGCUGGAGCUGUACAAGGACGGAGGCGUCGCCAUCAUCGAUCAGUGGAUCUGCGCUCAUGCCAGGUUUUUUAUUGGCACCUCUGUUUCCACAUUUUCCUUUCGGAUUCAUGAAGAGAGAGAGAUCCUGGGGUUGGACCCCAAGACAACAUACAACCGGUUUUGUGGAGACCAGGAGAAAGCAUGUGAGCAGCCCACACACUGGAAGAUUGCGUACUGAGGGCCACCUAUCCACCGCCUGCCAAUCACUCGGUCACAGGGUCCCAGAGGAGGCCCCCACAUGGGAGGCAACACAUCUAGAGCCCAUGCUCCCACGUGUCCGUGGGCCGACAUCUACCUGUGUCUAGGCUCUGCCACCUUCAGGAUUCACAACUGUGUCUUCUCUCAGGACCUGAGAACCCACGUCCCCAUCACAGAUGUCACAUGUGUGCUAGUCCAGAAAUAGAAGAACAUUUGUCAGCUCCGACACAGGCCUCUCAGCCACCUUCCUGAACAAGUUGAGCAUGGCCAGCCUGUGGCAAUGCCCUCAGGUGUGGAUGCGGGCUCCUGAGGUGUUGGGGUGACUGACGACUGAGGUCACUUCACACAUGGCCAGCGUGAGCCGACACCAAGCCUUGCCUCAGCCUCCACCUGUGGGGCUCCCACUAAUUUCCUCCUGGAUGGAACGACUCGGGCACUGUUGUCAUCAGAGUGACAGCCCUGGAGCCUUGCCAGUGACUUCCUCGCCUCACAUGGACCCCCAGGUUCACUGCACACGCUGAGAAAUAGAAUUGAGAAGUAAAGGAAAUGGCCUUCAAAAGGCCACACCUGAGACCCGCCCCUGCUUUAUGACACCCUUCCCUGGGCCUCAUGCUGUACCACAGGAGGCAGAGUCAGCACAGCCGUGGCCAGGGCACCCCCAGGUCCCUGACCUGGUACUUAGCAGUGCACCCCUCCCCCCAGUGCUGUGCACUGAGCAGCCCCCACUCAGCUACUGCCAGGUCUCCGUCCCAAGCACCAAGGUAGACUCUGAGCACAGACAGGGCCCCGUGGCCCAGUCAGCUGACCAGCUAGAAUCACAUAUUUAUUUUCCAUUUGUACAUCCAAGCGUAUUAAUAAAAUACUUUUUCAAGAAA
RNA transcript from Mus musculus (house mouse), 2357 nucleotides. It is a transcript of the gene named protein O-fucosyltransferase 2, with no coding region annotated. NCBI's taxonomy places the organism in Eukaryota, Metazoa, Chordata, Mammalia, Rodentia, Muridae. The transcript is spliced from 9 exons. The record is from RefSeq and is marked validated.